This is a long non-coding RNA of Cyprinus carpio carpio, 2270 nucleotides long. The record is from Ensembl. Lineage: Eukaryota; Metazoa; Chordata; Actinopteri; Cypriniformes; Cyprinidae.
AUUUUAACAUCACUCAGAACGUAAUUGCUUCCUUAGAAUACCAAAAGCAACUAUAUGCAGACAUCAGUGCCACAAUACUUCGACUAAACAAGAUCUUGGCCUGUCUUACCUGGUAAACACAUUUUUCAGCACAUUGUACAGUGCAGUAACCAAGUCCUACCUUCUACUGCAGUGUGUGAGCUACAUCCUUGAGACCAGCAUCACACAAAGCACACAAAUGGAGGAGCACAACUAUCUUGCAAAGAAAUGCAGCCGCAAAAAAAAAAAAAAAUUUGGAUCUCAAUUUCACACUAGCUGUUCAAAACUUACGUCACACAAUACCCCCACUGUUUCUCUCCACUAGCAGGCACCCUACAUGUCAAAUACAUAACGGCCUAAAUCAAACUUUAGAUUAAGGAAAAGAAAUUGAAGACAAAGGAUGUCUGACCAUUUGAUUUAUUGAAUCAUUUGAGAGAACAAGGACAAAACAAAUGAGCAGGAGUCACUUUACAGUCGCCCCAUACACAGCCUAUAUUAACAUUAGGAGGCAAUCUUUUUCAAAGCCACAUGGAAGACAUAACCCACCUAAUUCUACUGUCCUCGGUCCUCAAUUUCGUGGGAAAGAUUUCCUAUCAGAUUCUGAAAAAUCCACAAAUUUAAGUGCGAAUGGGUCUUUUUCAUAAUGCAUAUAACUGGGUGGUUUAUAGUAUUGGGGUGGCUCUUUGGGAGGCUGGUUGGCAGAAGGUUUGCAUUCAGCUGCUGCAGUUGUAGUACAGGGUUGAGGAGUGGUGGUUAUAGGUGGUGCGGUAGGGGUUUUCUGAGGUUGCACUGGGUAUUGUGGAUAAAAUUGCUGCAAAUAAUCUGGGAAAUUUGGGUAAUGGCUAUGCUGAGGGAAUAGACUUCCAGGGUACACUGGGGGUUGCGGUUUCUGGUUUAUUGCUGGCGAAUCUGGUGGGAGAGGAGUGGGGAUGGCUGGAGCUGGUUUCACAGUAGUAUUUGGUUUGCCAUGAUAGUCACUGUAGUAAUAUGGCCACAUAUGGGGUUGCCUUGGAAACUGAGGUUUCUGGGUUGGCACUUGGCCAUCUGAUGGAGAUUGCCCUGCUGGCUUAGCUGUGGGAUAUGGCCACAUCAUAUGGGGGUACUUCGGAAACUGAGGUUUCUGGAUUGGCACUUGGCCAUCUGAUGGAGAUUGCCCUGCUGGCUUAGCUGUGGGAUAUGGCCACAUCAUAGGGGGGUGCUUCGGAAAUUGAGGUUUCUGGGUUGGCACUUGGCCAUCUGAUGGAGAUUGCCCUGCUGGCUUAGCUGUGGGAUAUGGCCACAUCAUCUGGGGGUACUUCGGAAACUGAGGUUUCUGGGUUGGCACUUGACCAUCUGAUGGAGAUUGCCCUGCUGGCUCAGCUGUGGGAUAACCCUUGCCAGGAUAACGGGAGUAGGGAUAUGGCCACAUCAUAUGGGGGUACUUCGGAAACUGAGGCUUCUGGGUUGGCACUUGGCCAUCUGCUGGAGAUUGCCCUGCUGGCUUAUCUGUGGGAUAACCCUUGCCAGGAUAAUGGGAAUAUGGAUAUGGCCACAUCAUCUGGGGGUGCUUUGGAAACUGAGGUUUCUGGGUUGGCACUUGGCCAUCUGCUGGAGAUUGCCCUGCUGGCUUAGCUGUGGGAUAACCCUUGCCAGGAUAAUGGGAGUAGGGAUAUGGCCACAUCAUAGGGGGGUGCUUUGGAAACUGAGGUUUCUGGGUUGGCACUUGGGCAUCUGAUGGAGAUUGCCCUGCUGGCUCAGCUGUGGGAUAACCCUUGCCAGAAUAUUGGUAACGAGGGUAGUUGUAAGGCCAAAACCCUUGCUGAAACUCUUCAGGGUAGCCGUAAAAUGGCGGUUUGAGAGCUGCAGAUAGUUCUGGCAUUGUACUUAUUUGUAGAUUAAAUUCAUCAGGAUAAAGGGGAGGCAGCAGAAUCUGCUGAUAUGAAGGAUCAUGAGGUCCUAGAAAAGUGUCGUUUGCAGUUGUAGAGGUCAUAGGACAAGAAAUGACUGCACGGUUUCCCUGCCAUUGCAUCUGCAUCACAUAACUCCCUCCCUGAAAGACAUGAACAUUCAGGUUGGUCUUCCUAACUCUGUGUACAUACUAAAUGGAACAGAGAAAGUAAUACCUGUUGUGCAACGCCACAUCCAUCAUAGGGGGUAGCAUAGAUAAGACCACCAUAAGUGGGUAUGGUAGAUCCACAGUUAGGCGGCAACUCACUGAGGGGAACAGCUGCCCCAUUACCUGUGACAAAAAACAUCCCACAUUGCAUUGAUGC